This 263-nucleotide long non-coding RNA is filed under the name Linum usitatissimum (flax). Its description in RNAcentral is "long non-coding RNA (LUSI_LNC000673)". Lineage: Eukaryota; Viridiplantae; Streptophyta; Magnoliopsida; Malpighiales; Linaceae. The record is from RNAcentral.
CGAGCUUAACCAGGCAAAGCUCCGGCUCCGGCGAUCCGCACAGAUGUCCUAAAUUUCGAACAAAAAUCAUGUUUCUAGCAACAACCUAAUUUUCUGUACAAAACGAGAAAACUAUACAUAAGCACACAGAAGAAUAACAUUUUACCCUAAUUUAAUUUGCUCCACCUUUUUUUUUUUGCUGUUCAAUUUGUUCUUUGUAAAUGAUGAACCAUUAUACAUAUAUGAAAAAUGGAAAACAAGUUCCGAUCUUUUUUCAAAUCUCG